UGCGUAGGUGGGCUCGUGUGUCGGAUGUGAAAUCUCACUGCUCAACAGUGAAACUGCAUUCGAAACUGCGAGUCUAGAGUACAUGAAGGGAGAGUGGAAUUCUUGGUGUAGCGGUGAUAUGCGUUGAUAUCAAGAAGAACACCGGUGGCGAAGGCGGCUCUCUGGCAUGUUACUGACACUGAGGCACGAAAGUUGGGGUAGCAAACAGGAUUAGAUACCCUGGUAGUCC
This 229-nucleotide ribosomal RNA is filed under the name uncultured bacterium. Its description in RNAcentral is "partial 16S ribosomal RNA". It matches the Rfam family "Bacterial small subunit ribosomal RNA", at positions 568 to 796 of the family's 1533-position model. The record is from RNAcentral.